UCCAAGAUGAUCUGCAGAAUCCUGACCUCUUGGCAUUGAUACACCUGUAGAGUUCCCUCCCACACUGAACAGGGUUGAGGAUAUUGAAGAAAUGGUGGUGUGUGACAUCUGAGCCUAGGUCACAAAAGACACUGUAGCUUCUUUCUUGCUCUCUUAGAUCACUCAUUCUAGGAGAGACCUUGGGAGAAGAAGUCAUGAGGACAGUCAACUAGCUCUUUGAAGAGGUCCACAUGGUGGGAAACUGAGGCCUCCUGCCAACGGCCUUGUGAGUGAAUCAUCUUGGAGGUGGAUCCUCAAGCCCCUGUAAAACCUUCAGAUGACCACACAUCUGACUGACAUUUUGACCUCAAUGUUAUGAAAAAUCUUGAGGCCGAAGCACCCACCUAAACCAAUCCUGUAUUCUUCACCUACAGAAACUAUGAGCUAGUCUUCAAUCUGGUCUGGAGUUCAAGCCCUGCCUCUGGAGUCAUGUCCCACCUCCUACUUCACCAGUACCUUCCCUCUCCUCCUGAUUAGUGUGAGGAUAGCUCAUUUCAGAGUCUACACCACUGAGAGGGCAGAAGAAAUGUGCCAGAUUAACUAUUUAUUGUUUUGUAAUACGAUGUAGCCAAAUGCUUUCACUCUACGAUGUCCCCCAGCCAAACUCCUCAGAUUAGUCAAUUAGGAUUCAUCCAUGCACCAAGAAGGAAGAAGAGGACAGAUAUUGAGGGGCAACUAAUAGUAUCAGCACAAUGGAUUGACUUAUGCAAGGAUAGAGAAGAAUAUCAGCACUGUCAGGACUCAUGGCAGAGAGAUCAGCAUCAUUUUCUAGGACAUAAAAAGGUGUUUGGAUAUUUUUAGAAGAUUCCCCUUUGUCAAAGAUCCCGUGGCUUGGUGUGAAGUGGUGUGAGCUGUGCCCAGUGGAACAUUUAGGUCAUUGGUUGGGUGAGAACUCUGUUCUCUGCAUCCUUGUAGAAUGUACAUAUAAAUAUGACUUUAAAUAAAAGUCAGCAUUUUCUGAAUUUCUUU
Non-coding RNA from Macaca mulatta (Rhesus monkey), 1008 nucleotides. NCBI's taxonomy places the organism in Eukaryota, Metazoa, Chordata, Mammalia, Primates, Cercopithecidae. The record is from RefSeq and is a predicted model, not a curated record.